Molecule: ribosomal RNA, 668 nt
Filed under: uncultured bacterium
Lineage: Bacteria
Description: bacterial SSU rRNA
Rfam family: Bacterial small subunit ribosomal RNA
Source: RNAcentral
AUAACAGUGAGAAAUCACUGCUAAUACCGCAUAAGCUGACAAUACCGCAUGGUAUAGUCAGAAAAGGAGAAAUCCGCUAAUAGAUGGGCUUGCGUCCGAUUAGCUAGUUGGUGGGGUAAAGGCCUACCAAGGCAACGAUCGGUAGCCGAGCUGAGAGGCUCAACGGCCACAUUGGGACUGAGAUACGGCCCAGACUCCUACGGGAGGCAGCAGUCGGGAAUAUUGCACAAUGGAGGAAACUCUGAUGCAGUGACACCGCGUAUAGGAAGAAGGUUUUCGGAUUGUAAACUAUUUUAGACAGGGAAGAAAAAAGACAGUACCUGUAGAAUAAGCUCCGGCUAACUACGUGCCAGCAGCCGCGGUAAUACGUAGGGAGCAAGCGUUAUCCGGAAUUAUUGGGUGUAAAGGGUGCGUAGACGGGACAGCAAGUUAGUUGUGAAAGCCCUCGGCUUAACUGAGGAACUGCAACUAAAACUAUUGUCCUUGAGUGCAGGAGAGGAAAGCGGAAUUCCUAGUGUAGCGGUGAAAUGCGUAGAUAUUAGGAGGAACACCAGUGGCGAAGGCGGCUUUCUGGACUGUAACUGACGUUGAGGCACGAAAGUGUGGGGAGCAAACAGGAUUAGAUACCCUGGUAGUCCACACUGUAAACGAUGGAUACUAGGUGUAGG